GGAUUACAGGUGUGAGCCACCGCGCCCGGCCUGUUUCAUCACUUUCAAACCAAAGUCCAUCUGAUUGAUAGAAACUAAGUCACAUGUCUGUAGCCUUACAGCAAGUGAGACUGGGCAUCCAUGUCUGGCUGCCAUGCUGGGAAGGUAGAUCCACAAUAUGGGGGAAGCUUUUGAAAUAUGGAGAGGCUGUUAAAGUGUGGGAGUACCCAGGAAUGAUCACAGUCCACCACACACACAGUCCCCAUUCCACAAAUCACUGUGUGAGACGGGAAGUCUAGAUUCAGAUCUGCCUUCUUUCUAGAAGCCCCUGUUCAAGCCCUUAGUUCUAGAGCAUAUAAAGAAACCUGUAGAAAAAAGGUUUUGAUUUUGGUGUGACUUGAAGACUCUUUUAUAGUCUUCUUUUUACCAGGUAUGAGAAAUUUUUACAACUUCUCCCUGUUAGAAACAUUCCUGUGAUGGGCUAAGUUCUUUGAAGUCUCUGACUCUUAUCUGCAGUUUCCUCUGCCUGGAUUGCAGCUCUCUCCUCUGGUUGCAUCUAUAAUACCUGGCCCAAACAUUCAGGUGGGAGCUUGCUAAACAGGCCUGGGCUAAAAUCUAUCUCUGCUGCUACACAGCUGUGUGACCUUAGAAGUGUUACCUAAUUUUUCUUAUCCUCAGUUUAUGCAUCUGUAAAAUAGAGGUAAUAUUACUGACUUCCUAGAUUGUCCAGGGAUUAAAUGGAUAAUAGAUGAAAAGAGACCACAUAAAUGGUAAACACACAGGAUUAUGUCCCUUCCUCUCCUUUCUUAUGACGUUUUGUGCACUCCUGGGUUACAAUACUUACACUAAACUGUGCCAUUUGGACAUUCACCUAUUUUUAAACUAUUGGGUAGACAGCCCCUUCUCUGCUGUGUGGCCCGCUGCUUUCUUGCAAUGUAAAAAAAUACAAUAUUGAAAAGGAAGGCUAAAAUCAUCUGUUUUCCA
This 963-nucleotide long non-coding RNA is filed under the name Homo sapiens (human). RNAcentral's name for it is "HSALNT0022624". The record is from RNAcentral. Lineage: Eukaryota; Metazoa; Chordata; Mammalia; Primates; Hominidae.